CUGUGCGCCACUGAUGCAGGGGGAUCCAUCAUGGCGUCGAUGCAGAAAAGGUUACAGAAGGAGCUGCUAGCCUUGCAGAAUGAUCCACCCCCUGGAAUGACCCUAAACGAGAAGAGCGUACAAAACACCAUUACACAAUGGAUAGUGGACAUGGAAGGAGCCUCUGGUACUGUUUAUGAAGGGGAAAAAUUCCAGCUUCUUUUUAAAUUUAGUAGUCGUUAUCCCUUUGACUCGCCUCAGGUAAUGUUCACAGGAGACAAUAUACCUGUCCAUCCCCACGUUUAUAGCAAUGGCCACAUCUGCCUGUCCAUCUUAACGGAGGACUGGUCACCAGCCCUUUCAGUCCAGUCUGUUUGUCUUAGCAUUAUUAGCAUGCUGUCCAGCUGCAAAGAGAAGCAUGAUCACUCCAGUCUUCAUUGUCUUACAUUCUUCUAAUGUGCUUAUUUGGUGAAUAAACCAGGUUUCUUGUUAUUAACAGUGUUGGAGACGGCCUCCUGAUAAUUCAUUUUAUGUACGAACUUGUAAUAAAAAUCCAAAGAAGACAAAAUGGUGGUAUCAUGAUGAUACCUGUUAAUAUGAACUUUCUUGAACUCCAAGAGGGAAGAAGUUCUACUGACCUAUAGAAGCACUUUUUUGAAUAUCAUAUGGUCUCUGAACUUUAACCUUGGACUCAAACUAAAGCAUGGACUCCUGUGGACCACAAACACGGGAAACGAUGUCAGCUGUGUUACUGGUAGCCAGUUGGAUGCAUGUUUGGGGGUUAACAAAAGAGAUGACGAAUGGAAAUAAAUUAUAAACAGAACGGAAACGGACCAUCAUUGGUAGUUGUGAAGAAAUUUUGUUUCAUCCAGGAUUUUAUUAUUAUUUUAUUUUGAUAGUAAGAUUACCACACCACACUGUUCAUUUUCUGUCUCUAGUUUGUUUUAAGCUCCACGUGUCUUGUGCAAUAACAAGAAUUUGGGUGCAUUUUCAGGGCCAAUAAUGAGAAAUCCAAAUCAAUAGUCACGAUCCAAAACAAAUACUGAAAUGAUUGUAGUGUUCCUUCGCUUUACUUUCAUUCCUACUGAAAUGAUAUGCACUGUGAAAUGAUAUAAGAAAAGAAAGGUUUGUUUAGGAGGUUGAAUUUCUGAUGAAUCGCUGUAAAUAGUUUAAUAUACAAAUGGUACGUUUUGUUCUCAUUCAUCUCAAGUUCUGAUAUCACUGCAUAUGGAGGUUAGUCUCUGAGUCUUCUUUGGACUUUAUUUGGUGCAUUUAAGCAUUAAAACCAACCUUGAUCAUCAAUCAAUCUCAUACUUACCUCUACUAACUCCUACCGGAUGAAACCAGGGCCUAAAACUAAAUUGCUGUUGUUUAGUAUAUGAUACUAAUGGUAUUAAUAAUGGCUGAGAAAGCAAUAUGGUUCAGUAUGAUUAUGAAAACUUUACAGAAAACUAGUAUUCAGUAUUUUGAAGCAGCUUGCUGUGUAUUUGAAAAGGCAAACAUUUUCCCAGGUUUAGAUUGAAAAUAGUUCAUAAAUGGGCUGCCAAUAAAACAGAAUCCUUUCAAAAUAGUAGUAAUCUCCUCCAAAAUAAAAGCUUUGUUGUUUAACUUAAAAGCUAAUAAAAUAAUCUAUAUAAAAUCAAACGAUAAUAAUUGCAAUGACAUGUUUUGCCUCUAUUUACCUCAAUUAUGCAUUGCUUUUGGGCCAGUAAAAUAUUUAUUGUAUUGUGAUAGAUUUUCUCAAAUGUUUUUGCUUAGUUUUAGGCCCUGGACACAGAAGUAUUCAGUGUAGAUUUGCAGUGCUUGGUAAACCAGUAUAUUGAAUGUUGGCAAGAAAGUUCUGUCUUGUGUUCUAUCUUAUUUGUAUAAAAUCUUUUUUACGAGAUUGAGUUUGCUCAAAUAUCUUUUAAAUAUUCCAAUUUUCUUUUCUUUCCAUGUUUUUACUUUAUCGAAAGUAACCAAUAAGAUUUGAAAAAUGGCAGUAUGUUUGGGAUUGUACAUCUUAUUUAAUUCGAGGUUCCUGUUUUAUUCUUUGUAACCUCAAAUGUAACCUUUUUGGAAGUCAUUGCAAUUUUUGUAUAUUCUCAAGGUGUUGAUUAUCCUGGUCAUACUUGUCUGGCUCAGGUAUUUUUAUUUUGUUUUUUAAGGAUGAAAAAAAAAAACUGAAAUAUUUUCCAUUUGACUAUAUUUUCUCCUCAAGGACUGUUACAUAGUUUAGGAAACGAAUGGAACAAAUCGAUUUAUGUAACUUUAAAAGUAAAAAUUAUUAGCAUGGACUACAUGUAGAUAUAGGCAAAUUAUGAUAUUGCACAGCACAUACACAGUUAUUUCAAAUUAAAUUAUAUAAUUUAGUUUUCCUGAAAAUUUGUUGCUAGGGUCAAUGAUUAUGAGGUUUGGCUUUUAUGUUAUCUGGGAUUAAAUAAGAAAGAAAGAAAAAAACAAAAAAACAAAGUAGUACCCAACUAUAUGUAUAUGUUUGACAAACAAAUUCUGACCAGAAAUGAGAAAUUUUACACUGUUUAUGAACUUCUCACACUCCAAAGAUGUAUUUUUUAGCCAUCUCUUCAGAAAUACUUGAAUAUUCCACAGCUGGUUGGCUUGUCAUCUUUUUUUUUAUUUUUUUUUUCCAUUGUCUGUGGCACAGUGUAUUUAGACCUCCUAGUGAAUGUGUUGGUGUAGAACACAUGGAGAUGGCCAUGACUCUUCCCUCUGCACACAUUAUCAGGAUAUUUUAUUUGAUCAAUUGUUCUUGCUACUAAACGAAAAUGUGUGGAAAUGAAACCACGGCUAAACUUGAAUGUGUGAUUGAUGGCAGAGAAUUGUGCGUCAUCAUUUAAAAGGAAGUCAAUUAAUGUACACGCUUAAGGUUAAGUAUACACUUGGGUAUAUAUAUAUAAUAAAUCUUUUUUUUUUGUUAUAAUGAAGGGUUCUAUUUAAAUUUUGGUUUGCAAGAUGUAAGAAGUAAUAAGAGAUUUUUUUUCUUUCAUUGAGUUUUUUGGUAUGUAUACAAAUUAUGUAACUUGUGCCUGUUAAUUUUAAGAAUAAAAAUACAGGUUUUGA
Danio rerio (zebrafish) is the source of this 3039-nucleotide non-coding RNA. Lineage: Eukaryota; Metazoa; Chordata; Actinopteri; Cypriniformes; Danionidae. The record is from RefSeq and is a predicted model, not a curated record.